CCUCGCCAAGCCUAUCAGGCCGACCUCUAGUUGGCCCCCCGAACUCUGCCUCCAAUGAAGAGAUGUCCAGAGUGGGGUGCACCUCCUUCAGUCGACCUAAUAAGCUUUGGGCACUCCAUGAGGCCCAGAAAUUGGCGAAGUCGUCACACAGGGGAUGGUCUUCAAAGUGGUCGAUGAAGUUUUGGACUGCCACCUCCCCUGUAGACUUCAACUCCUCCCUCAAAGAGACAAUCUCCUCUGACUGAGCCUCUGCCUUCUGCAUCAGCUCCGCCUUCUCUUUGUUGGAGGCCUCCAGAGCCUUGGUGGUGAGCUUGUGGUGCUCAUUGGCGUGAUCAAGCCGCCGAGUCACAGCAGCCACUUGGCACUCCACCUCGUACAACUCCUUCUUCAGUCGUUCCACUUCUGCUUUAGCGAAAAUUAGCUGGGCCUCAGCUUCCUUCUUUCCCUCUUUCGCCUGUGUGGCCUUGGCCUAGGCCACUCGUACGGCAUCCUUGUAGUGCAUCGCCUCCUCGAGGCGCUUGGCGAGGUUUUCCCUCUUAGAGUUCAGAUCCUUCACCAAGCCCUCAAGCUGGAUGCUUGUACUCAGAGCCCGAGCCACGCAGGCGCUAUUCGCAGCCACCAAAUCCUCAGCCGUAUAAGAGGCGGUGUGAUCCCUCCACUCCUCUGUCCAGUAUUUGUUGUGGACCACCACCACCACCACCACCGUAGCUGUUUCUGGAAGAAGAGCCUCCAACACUUCCCUUACGGGCUCGUCAGGAUUGGUGCCUAGAAAGUCGACCUCCUUAGAGGGACGGGGCCUCUUCCUUUUCUGCUGCCCCGGCACUUGAUCAAUUGGCACUGCAGCGAGGGGUGUUGUGGUCGGGGCAGUGGUAGGCUCAGUUGGGACGGGCCUCUUCUCCCGAAUGGCCACCCCGGUGGGAAUUGUGGUCUGCCUCAGAGCAGGGAGUGGCCUCACCACAGUUAGGUGUUUUGGAGGGGCGGUACUCUUCUUGUCCUUCCUCCAAAGGUCAGCCUCCGGGUCCUCUGGUACCUCCUCCUCCGUCGGAGGCUGAAGCCUCUUACUAGCUUCCACCAAAUCCUCCAUUCACUUUUUGUACGAGGAGGAGGAGGCCUUCAAUGCCCGUGCCUCUGCCAUCAUCUUCUGGAUGGUCUUAAAGUCGGGGCGUACCG
This 1170-nucleotide long non-coding RNA is filed under the name Olea europaea subsp. europaea. The record is from RNAcentral. Lineage: Eukaryota; Viridiplantae; Streptophyta; Magnoliopsida; Lamiales; Oleaceae.